Molecule: non-coding RNA, 53 nt
Filed under: unclassified sequences
Description: Li+-I sequence
Rfam family: nhaA-I RNA
About the family: Acidobacteria, Alphaproteobacteria, Betaproteobacteria and Gammaproteobacteria, Verrucomicrobia, cand. division NC10.
Source: Rfam by way of RNAcentral
GGGUUCAGUUCGGUAGCCGAACUGGAGGUCUCUGGAUGGUCGGGCCGCCAUUC